This 117-nucleotide ribosomal RNA is filed under the name uncultured bacterium. RNAcentral describes it as "partial 16S ribosomal RNA". It matches the Rfam family "Bacterial small subunit ribosomal RNA", at positions 1369 to 1482 of the family's 1533-position model. The record is from RNAcentral.
CGUUCCCGGGCCUUGUACACACCGCCCGUCACGUCAUGAAAGUCGGUAACACCCGAAGCCGGUGGCCUAACCCCUCGCGGGAGGGAGCCGUCGAAGGUGGGAUCGGCGAUUGGGACG